Molecule: long non-coding RNA, 470 nt
Filed under: Cucumis sativus (cucumber)
Lineage: Eukaryota; Viridiplantae; Streptophyta; Magnoliopsida; Cucurbitales; Cucurbitaceae
Description: long non-coding RNA (CSAT_LNC002156)
Source: RNAcentral
AGUUAAUAUAUAUUUUUUUAUGUGUAUAUUAUACAAACUGUGUAUGUUCAGAUAUGCACUACAAAAAAAUUUUAAAUUAACUGCAAGAUUCAGUAAGCAUUAAGUACAAUUGUGCGAUCGAUUUCAAGGCGUUUUAUAUUUGAAUAUUGGACGUCACGACUUAAAUUCUAAAUGAGGAAAUAUUCAAAUAUUACAGCUAAGUGCGUUCGAGCAGUUCUAUUUGUGAAACGGUAUCAAACCUAUUGUAUUUCGUGCUCAUUUUAUAGUGGUAUGUUCACGGUUUAACAUGAACUAUAAAGAUUUCGUUGUAUUUGUGAAACGGUAUCAAACCUAUGGUAUUUCGUGCUCAUUUUAUAGCGGUAUGUUCACGGUUUAACAUGAACUAUAAAGAUUUCGUUGAGAAUUACUAAACUGUCAACUUAUGAUGUAUGUUAUGCUCCUCAGUUUCAACCAGUACUGCAAGAAGAUUA